Molecule: long non-coding RNA, 497 nt
Organism: Gorilla gorilla gorilla (western lowland gorilla)
Lineage: Eukaryota; Metazoa; Chordata; Mammalia; Primates; Hominidae
Exons: 4
Source: RefSeq, a predicted model, not a curated record
UUUAACGAUGUGAAACAAAUACAGUUGGCCCUCCGCAUCCAUGGAUUCCACAUCCAGGGAUUCAACCAACAUUGGAUAAAAAAUAUUCGAAAAAAGCAGUGGAAUCUGUACUAAACGUGUACCAUGUGCCAUUGAGAUUUCUCAGUACACAGUGAGAUUCUACAUGAACCAGCCAUCUUCAUCUCUCCUGGUCACCUUCUUCUUUGACUGCAUGACCACCUGAGUUCUUCUGAACAAUAGUUCGUGGGAAAAUGCACACAUGUGCUCUGAAGGACUUCAACCAGGAAGAAACCAACUUCAUGGUCACUUUCCAGCAACCAAAUACCUUCCUGAGAGUUGACUCCCACAUUCUCAGCAAGAUGUUCUGAGCUCCUAUUUCUUUUAGGAAACACCUGUUCAUCUAGCCCCUGUCUGACCACCUUGGCUUCCAUCAUCAUCAUCAUCAUCACCAUCGCCACCACUAUGAUUUUUAUUCCACCCAAACCUUUCAGUUAGCC